Molecule: transfer RNA, 92 nt
Filed under: Pseudoflavonifractor capillosus
Lineage: Bacteria; Bacillati; Bacillota; Clostridia; Eubacteriales; Oscillospiraceae
Also listed under: 7 other names
Description: tRNA-Ser
Rfam family: tRNA
About the family: Transfer RNA (tRNA) molecules are approximately 80 nucleotides in length. Their secondary structure includes four short double-helical elements and three loops (D, anti-codon, and T loops). Further hydrogen bonds mediate the characteristic L-shaped molecular structure. tRNAs have two regions of fundamental functional importance: the anti-codon, which is responsible for specific mRNA codon recognition, and the 3' end, to which the tRNAs corresponding amino acid is attached (by aminoacyl-tRNA synthetases). tRNAs cope with the degeneracy of the genetic code in two manners: having more than one tRNA (with a specific anti-codon) for a particular amino acid; and 'wobble' base-pairing, i.e. permitting non-standard base-pairing at the 3rd anti-codon position.
Source: RNAcentral
GCAGAAGUACCCAAGUGGCUAUAAGGGGCUCCCCUGCUAAGGGAGUAGUCGGGUUAAACCGAGCGAGGGUUCGAAUCCCUCCUUCUGCGCCA